Molecule: transfer RNA, 35 nt
Filed under: Aprasia parapulchella
Lineage: Eukaryota; Metazoa; Chordata; Lepidosauria; Squamata; Pygopodidae
Description: partial tRNA-Asn
Source: RNAcentral
CUAAAUAUUUAUGGGAUCAAGGCCCAUCGAUCUAG